ACAAGCAUGCAUGCUGCCGUUUUUCGUUUCUUUUUUUACUUUAGCACCUGAUUGUCGGGGGCUUCUGCGCAAAAGAGAAGAAACGAAAAAUCGCGCCGAAAGCCUCCCUAGUGGAGGCUUUUUUGUU
Molecule: non-coding RNA, 127 nt
Organism: Erwinia sp.
Lineage: Bacteria; Pseudomonadati; Pseudomonadota; Gammaproteobacteria; Enterobacterales; Erwiniaceae
Source: Rfam